Molecule: ribosomal RNA, 255 nt
Filed under: uncultured bacterium
Lineage: Bacteria
Description: partial 16S ribosomal RNA
Rfam family: Bacterial small subunit ribosomal RNA
Source: RNAcentral
UACGUAGGUGGCAAGCGUUGUCCGGAAUUAUUGGGCGUAAAGCGCGCGCAGGCGGUCCUUUAAGUCUGAUGUGAAAGCCCACGGCUCAACCGUGGAGGGUCAUUGGAAACUGGGGGACUUGAGUGCAGAAGAGGAAAGCGGAAUUCCACGUGUAGCGGUGAAAUGCGUAGAGAUGUGGAGGAACACCAGUGGCGAAGGCGGCUUUCUGGUCUGUAACUGACGCUGAGGCGCGAAAAGCGUUGGGGAGCAAACAGG